UACUUUGCCUGCCAACUCCAUUUGG
This 25-nucleotide non-coding RNA is filed under the name Rattus norvegicus (Norway rat). The record is from RNAcentral. Lineage: Eukaryota; Metazoa; Chordata; Mammalia; Rodentia; Muridae.